ACGAACGCUGGCGGCGUGCUUCACACAUGCAAGUCGAACGGAAAGGCCCUGCUUUUGUGGGGUGCUCGAGUGGCGAACGGGUGAGUAACACGUGAGUAACCUGCCCUUGACUUUGGGAUAACUUCAGGAAGCUGGGGCUAAUACCGGAUAGGAGCUCCUGCUGCAUGGUGGGGGUUGGAAAGUUUCGGCGGUUGGGGAUGGACUCGCGGCUUAUCAGCUUGUUGGUGGGGUAGUGGCUUACCAAGGCUUUGACGGGUAGCCGGCCUGAGAGGGUGACCGGCCACAUUGGGACUGAGAUACGGCCCAGACUCCUACGGGAGGCAGCAGUGGGGAAUAUUGCACAAUGGGCGGAAGCCUGAUGCAGCAACGCCGCGUGCGGGAUGACGGCCUUCGGGUUGUAAACCGCUUUCGCCUGUGACGAAGCGUGAGUGACGGUAAUGGGUAAAGAAGCACCGGCUAACUACGUG
RNAcentral lists this ribosomal RNA (467 nucleotides) under uncultured bacterium. RNAcentral describes it as "partial 16S ribosomal RNA". It matches the Rfam family "Bacterial small subunit ribosomal RNA", at positions 29 to 507 of the family's 1533-position model. The record is from RNAcentral.